This is a non-coding RNA of Triticum urartu, 663 nucleotides long. The record is from RefSeq and is a predicted model, not a curated record. NCBI's taxonomy places the organism in Eukaryota, Viridiplantae, Streptophyta, Magnoliopsida, Poales, Poaceae.
AUUUUUUGUUUCAUGGGAACUAGAGGAUCAAGGAUUUCAAUUUGUCAGGGCUCGUAGAAUGUCAAAAGAUGAUUUCUAGAUUAAACUUAACAUCGAUCAGACUGGUUUCUAUAGUGAGUUAUGAUGAGGAACUUGCAUCCCGAGUUAGGUAUGCAGUUGAGACCAACACACUGAGUGCAGCAGACGAAUAAAACUUUUGCAUGGUUUCUUACAACUGUAAGUCUUUCCAUGUUCAACUAUUCUCACAUUAUUACUGUCUGAUCACUACAGGUGUACUUGAUGACACAUAUGCCCUUUAUAUGGCUGGUAAACAGAAGUCUCUUCUAGCUUUUCAGAAAUCCGUCCCUUGCAAGUGAGGUGGCUGGGAUGCCAAGAGUGGGGAGGGUCACCUGAAUACACUGUUAAGAGGUGUAAAGGAAGUGAAGUGUGAACCCAGUGUUUCUUUUGACUACUCCAAGUCUGAAAUGAAUUCCAUGAGGAGGAAAAGGCUGAAUUGAGUGCAUGAAAUAAAGGAGGAGCAUCCUAAGAAGCAGUCAGGUUGGAGAAAAAGAUCAGAGUUUCAUCUGUUGUGAAAAUGGAAGGUAAUUAGACGUCAGAAGAUUACAAGGAAAGAUAAAGCGGAUAAAUUUACACGGAAUCAUACCACAUGAGCUCACAUCACGA